RNAcentral lists this non-coding RNA (162 nucleotides) under pig gut metagenome. RNAcentral describes it as "Lysine riboswitch". It matches the Rfam family "Lysine riboswitch aptamer". Rfam says of the family: Riboswitches are metabolite binding domains within certain messenger RNAs that serve as precision sensors for their corresponding targets. Allosteric rearrangement of mRNA structure is mediated by ligand binding, and this results in modulation of gene expression. The record is from RNAcentral.
GAUAGAGGAGCGGUACACAUAAGUAUUUACCGGCAAGGUUGGGCGACCGUCGGUAAAGAAAGGGAAGACCGCCGAAGUAAUAAAAGCAGCCUAAGCUUUUAUUGCUGGGCCGUCAGAGAACAUCUGGCGGACUGUCACAUUUUUUUUGUGAAGCGCUAUCGU